AUUAUUUUUCUUCCUUUUGUUUCUAUCCUGAGAAAUGCCUGGGAGCCAUUCAUAAGACCACAAGGAGCAGGUCUAGAUUAAGCACCCACCGCAAAAGAAACCUCAAAUCUACCUAGGAGACAGCAGAGUGUGUCUACAGGGGAAAGUUCAGAUGGAAACAGCUCACACAGUUAACACAGAAGACACAGGAAAAGAAAGAGUAGAAAAGCAAACUGUGAACAGAGAAGAAAAAAAAAGAAAGAAAUGAACUUUCUGAAAUCCCUUGAAUUGAAGCUAACAUACUGAGAUGCUGCCUGUUCAUUGCUAUCGUCUGCAUCUUGAGAGCUGCACACAACAGCAGAGAAAUUUGUUGCCUGGGUUAGGCUAACUGAAGAGGUGUUCAGAAAACACCAAAUAUGGCAAAACAAGAGGCAGAAGAAAAGUUAUAGACAGAGCCAUGAAGAAUGGCUUGUUUCACAGAGACCUGCGAGAGAAGCAGCUGAAUUCCACAGAUCAUUCCAGAAGCAAAUAGAGGCUUUUUUGGAGAGUCAAGUCUUGCAAAGUCCACACCACCCAGAUGACCAUUUGAGUACUACUUUUUAAAGCUGAGACUACCUAGGUAAUACUACCAGAGAUACCGAGCUUGGGUGUACUUGCAGAAAAAACUAAGACAAAUAAGGAAAAGGUAAUUACGGGCAGUCAUUAUCACAUCACACUUUAACUCAGAUGUCCAUAAUUCUAUAAUUGCUCCUGUGACA
This is a non-coding RNA of Cyanistes caeruleus (blue tit), 737 nucleotides long. The record is from RefSeq and is a predicted model, not a curated record. Lineage: Eukaryota; Metazoa; Chordata; Aves; Passeriformes; Paridae.